This 433-nucleotide ribosomal RNA is filed under the name uncultured bacterium. Its description in RNAcentral is "partial 16S ribosomal RNA". It matches the Rfam family "Bacterial small subunit ribosomal RNA", at positions 29 to 507 of the family's 1533-position model. The record is from RNAcentral.
AACGAACGCUGGCGGCAUGCCUAACACAUGCAAGUCGAACGAGACCUUCGGGCCUAGUGGCGCACGGGUGCGUAACGCGGGGGAACCUGCCCUUAGGUCCGGCAUAUCUCCCCGAAAGGGGUGCUAAUACCGGAUAAUGUCUUGGGACCAACGAUUUAUCGCCUUUGGAUGGGCCCGCGUUGGAUUAGCUAGUUGGUAGGGUAAAAGCCUACCAAGGCGACGAUGCAUAGCUGGUCUGAGAGGAUGAUCAGCCACACUGGGACUGAGACACGGCCCAGACUCCUACGGGAGGCAGCAGUGGGGAAUAUUGGACAAGGGGCGAAAGCCUGAUCCAGCAAUGCCGGGUGAGUGAUGAAGGCCUUAGGGUUGUAAAGCUCUUUUACCCGGGAUGAUAAUGACAGUACCGGGAGAAUAAGCUCCGGCUAACUCCGUG